Molecule: ribosomal RNA, 253 nt
Filed under: uncultured bacterium
Lineage: Bacteria
Description: partial 16S ribosomal RNA
Rfam family: Bacterial small subunit ribosomal RNA
Source: RNAcentral
UACGUAGGUGGCAAGCGUUGUCCGGAUUUAUUGGGUUUAAAGGGUGCGUAGGUGGUCAAUUAAGUCAGUGCUGAAAUAUCCCGGCUUAACCGGGAGGGUGGCAUUGAUACUGAUUGACUUGAGUGGAGUUGAGGUAGGCGGAAUUGACGGUGUAGCGGUGAAAUGCUUAGAUAUCGUCAAGAACACCAAUAGCGAAGGCAGCUUACUAAGCUCUAACUGACACUGAUGCACGAAAGUGUGGGGAUCAAACAGG